GACAGGCUUCCUUCCCCUAGCAGAUACAGGAAAAGAUCCUGCUGUUCCAUAGACCUAUAUAAUCCAGGCUAUCUCAUGGAGAGGAUCCUAGGUCCCAAGGAACAUUCUAAAUGAAUAAAGAAUGACAGGGGACAGAUCACCAAAGGCUAAAACAGGCACACUGUGCUCUUAGUCUAGAAGGAUGUACGAUGUCUACAUGGUAUCUAUGGCAACAGUCUAUUAGCCAGAAUUUGGUUACACCAGCUCUUGUCCCCAUUCAUUCUAGAAAAUACAGAACUGCUGGUCUUUUUAGAAACCUUGCUGGAAAAAUAUGAAAAAAAAAAAUAGUAUUCACCUCCAACCUCUUACAUGAAAAGACAUUGAUGUUAACUUUUAGUGUCACAAACUUGGGAUUGUGUUUAGUGCCUGCUUCUGUGCCCUGUUCAUUGUAUAUUGUAUUCAGACCCUUAGCAUUUCUCUGUAAUAAGAAAAGCUCUAUGAGAACAGUGAUACUGUGGGCUGGGAUUUGGAGGACCUGCUGUGCUGUGUGAUCUUGCAGGAUCAGUUGAUUUCUCUGAGCCUUGUUCCUUGUCUCUGUGUAGGGACAGAGACCAAUGGUUGUUUCUCAGGCUCUGCGUAGGGGAUAUGGAUAUGUUGCCUGUCUCAAGAUACGUAACGGUGACAGCUUUGCCCUCCUUAGACGAAAGAAAGCCUGGUGAUGUUUGUGGCAGGGCAGGCACUGGACAACACUUUCCAGGUAUAUAGUUAGUGGGAUGCUGAGGACCUGGCUAGUGCUGCCUCCAGUAAGCACUUUACCACCUCUUAGCCCAGGACUUUGCAUCUCUGAACACUAGCCCCCACAUAGCCUCAGAAGCCAGUGAUGGUUUGCCAGUUACAUUGAUGGAAGCAGGGUAACUGCUCAAAGAAAGGAGUAUCUUGUUACUGUCUGGAUGAUGGGACUGGGGCCUGGCAUUGACUCUUGGUCCUGCAGUGCUCAUCAGGACUUCAGGAACCUCAGGAUAUUGUAUCCAUGACCAAUCCUCACCAAGUCAGCUGCCCAGGACCCAUAUUCAGAAAUCCCUGGUGCAUGCUACAGCUCUGCCAUCUCUGAUGAGAUCUCACUGUUUUCAGCAAGGGCCUUACAUGUCAGCAAAGCUUCCCUGACUCUUGGCCGCAGAAUUGCGUGACGUUCCCACAGCUCUAUCUGCCUGUCCCCUAUACAGUGGAGAACUCUGCUCUGAGGUCAGGUGCUUACUAGGAUCACAGGGGAUAAGGGUCUGGUUGGCCAUUAUAAACUCUUGGUCACACAUUCUGGGGGACAUGGGAUGAUAGGAGUCUUGGACUGGACAUAAGAAAAGGAGGCACACACAAUAGGGAUACCACCGCCUCACCUCCUAGUCUUCUUGGGCUAGGUGGGUAGUACCAGGCAGUGAAGUUAGGCAAGAUAUACUUGGUACCCGUCCAUGAGGGAGAUAGAAGAACAGGGUCAGGCCACUGAGUAUUCAGAAGGCUGGAUAAUGGUGCUCAGCAGUUUGAGGGGAAGCUAAGAGUGUGUCAGAGGGCAGCACAUAUAGGGCAGGCCUCAGGCAGCUUAGCGGGAAGGGAGCUAAAGGAAGCAGGCAGAAUGGUUUUCCAUCUACACAGAAGCCAGCGGCCGGAGCAGAGCUUCUGCCUUUCCUACCAGGCCACCCCAGGAUUGAGGCAGUUGAGCCUCAGAAUAGAAGUGAGCAUGUGGCUCUCUUUCCAAAGGAGGAGACAAAACAGGGCUCUGCCUUUUUAAUAUUCCAAUCAACUUUUAGGGGCUGGGUCUGGUGAGGGGCACAGGACAGCCUAGGGCAUGUUGAGAGCAGACUUGGUGGACCAUAGGAUAUGAGUUUGCAGACCUGUCCUAGGGGUCUGGGAGAGGCUAUGCAAUGCAAAGAAGGGAAGAACUGAUUCCAGUGAGGACACUGGGAAAGGACAAGGUCUGGUGUCUACUCAAGCACAGAGAGAGCCGCUGCAGUCCAGAAGGUCUUAGGGCUGGAGCUCAGUAUACUAAGGGCAGG
RNAcentral lists this long non-coding RNA (2024 nucleotides) under Mus musculus (house mouse). RNAcentral's name for it is "long non-coding RNA chr11:60166390-60168414". Lineage: Eukaryota; Metazoa; Chordata; Mammalia; Rodentia; Muridae. The record is from RNAcentral.